CGCCCUUCAGAGGGGGACAACAGUUGGAAACGACUGCUAAUACCGCAUACGAUCUGACCUCGGCAUCGAGGAUAGAUGAAAGGUGGCCUCUAUUUAUAAGCUAUCACUGAAGGAGGGGAUUGCGUCUGAUUAGCUAGUUGGAGGGGUAACGGCCCACCAAGGCGAUGAUCAGUAGCCGGUCUGAGAGGAUGAACGGCCACAUUGGGACUGAGGCACGGCCCAG
Molecule: ribosomal RNA, 223 nt
Filed under: uncultured bacterium
Lineage: Bacteria
Description: partial 16S ribosomal RNA
Rfam family: Bacterial small subunit ribosomal RNA
Source: RNAcentral